UACGAAGGGGGCUAGCGUUGCUCGGAAUCACUGGGCGUAAAGGGUGCGUAGGCGGGUUUUUAAGUCAGAGGUGAAAUCCUGGAGCUCAACUCCAGAACUGCCUUUGAUACUGAGAAUCUUGAGUAUGGGAGAGGUGAGUGGAACUGCGAGUGUGGAGGUGAAAUUCGUAGAUAUUCGCAAGAACACCAGUGGCGAAGGCGGCUCACUGGCCCAUAACUGACGCUGAGGCACGAAAGCGUGGGGAGCAAACAGG
RNAcentral lists this ribosomal RNA (253 nucleotides) under uncultured bacterium. RNAcentral's name for it is "partial 16S ribosomal RNA". It matches the Rfam family "Bacterial small subunit ribosomal RNA", at positions 524 to 776 of the family's 1533-position model. The record is from RNAcentral.